UUCUUCGGGGCAGGGUGUGAUUCCCUACUGGCGGUAAAGUCCGCGACCCGGAAUGUGUGGAAGCAUAUUUCGGCUGACUCGGUGAAACUCCGGGACCAACAGUAUAGUCUGGAUGGAAGAAGAA
Molecule: non-coding RNA, 124 nt
Filed under: uncultured Acetatifactor sp.
Lineage: Bacteria; Bacillati; Bacillota; Clostridia; Lachnospirales; Lachnospiraceae
Description: FMN riboswitch (RFN element)
Rfam family: FMN riboswitch aptamer (RFN element)
About the family: The RFN element is a highly conserved domain that is found frequently in the 5'-untranslated regions of prokaryotic mRNAs that encode for flavin mononucleotide (FMN) biosynthesis and transport proteins. This element is a metabolite-dependent riboswitch that directly binds FMN in the absence of proteins.
Source: RNAcentral